RNAcentral lists this ribosomal RNA (253 nucleotides) under uncultured bacterium. Its description in RNAcentral is "partial 16S ribosomal RNA". It matches the Rfam family "Bacterial small subunit ribosomal RNA", at positions 524 to 776 of the family's 1533-position model. The record is from RNAcentral.
UACAGAGGUCCCAAGCGUGGUUCGGAUUCACUGGGCGUAAAGGGUGCGUAGGUGGUGAGGUAAGUCGGAUGUGAAAUCUCCGAGCUCAACUCGGAAAUUGCAUUGGAAACUACCUUGCUUGAGGGUUGGAGGGGGGACUGGAAUGCUUGGUGUAGCAGUGAAAUGCGUAGAUAUCAAGCGGAACACCAGUGGCGAAGGCGAGUCCCUGGACAACACCUGACACUGAGGCACGAAAGCUAGGGGAGCAAACAGG